This 466-nucleotide ribosomal RNA is filed under the name uncultured bacterium. Its description in RNAcentral is "partial 16S ribosomal RNA". It matches the Rfam family "Bacterial small subunit ribosomal RNA", at positions 28 to 507 of the family's 1533-position model. The record is from RNAcentral.
GAUGAACGCUGGCGGCGUGCUUAAUACAUGCAAGUCGAACGAAGAAGCCCAGCUUGCUGUGUGGAUUCGUUGGGAACGGGUGGGUAACUAACGAGUAACCUGCCCUUCACUCUGGGUUAGGUCAGGUAGAGUAGGUCUAAUACCUAAUAGGAGCGUUCAUCGAAUGGUGGGUGUUGGAAAGAUAUAUCGGUUUUGGAUGGACUCGCGGCCUAUCCGCUUGUUGGUGAGGUAAUGGCUCACCAAGGCGACGACGGGUAGCCGGCCUGAGAGGGUGACCGGCCACACUGGGACUGAGACACGGCCCAGACUGCUACGGGAGGCAGCAGUGGGGAAUAUUGCACAAUGGGCGCAAGCCUGAUGCAGCGACGCCGCGUGAGGGAUGACGGCCUUCGGGUUGUAAACCUCUUUCAGUAGGGAAGAAGCGAAAGUGACGGUACCUGCAGAAGAAGCACCGGCUAACUACGUG